AUUUAAAUAAUUUAAAUAAAAUAUUGAUUUGUGGUAUCAAAAAUAUGAAUAAAUUCAUUUUAAAUU
This 66-nucleotide transfer RNA is filed under the name Lymantria dispar (gypsy moth). RNAcentral describes it as "tRNA-His". RNAcentral also lists the same sequence under 1 other name. The record is from RNAcentral. Lineage: Eukaryota; Metazoa; Arthropoda; Insecta; Lepidoptera; Erebidae.